Pseudopodoces humilis (Tibetan ground-tit) is the source of this 268-nucleotide non-coding RNA. Lineage: Eukaryota; Metazoa; Chordata; Aves; Passeriformes; Paridae. The record is from RefSeq and is a predicted model, not a curated record.
CGACCACGGGCGCAGACACAGGGGGCGGUUCCAUCACCGUGGGGGAAGCCACAGCUCGGAGGAGCGAGGGAGGAGCGAGAGCCUCUCCAGUGAGGAGAUCUGAGGACUGGAAAUGGUGAUGCCGUGUGCCGACCCCUCCAGCGACACGAGGAGAUCCUGGAGGAACCCCAGAACCCUGGAAUGAUCAAUAAACCCUGGAAUGAUCAAUAAUCCCUGGAAUGAACAAUAAACCCUGGAAUGAUCAAUAAACCCUGGAAUGAUCAAUAAA